Molecule: long non-coding RNA, 436 nt
Filed under: Ananas comosus (pineapple)
Lineage: Eukaryota; Viridiplantae; Streptophyta; Magnoliopsida; Poales; Bromeliaceae
Description: long non-coding RNA (ACOM_LNC002778)
Source: RNAcentral
GUGUUUCUGUUCGCAAAGCCCGUGCGACGCUCGCCUUUUUGCUCGAAGAUGGGCAAGCCUUCAUCCCUGUUGCUAGUCUGGAUCUUCGCGUCCUACGACUAAAUAUACAAAGGGAAUGACAGAAAGAGAAAGGCGGAGGUUCACUCAAAAAACUAAAUACUUCACUAUUUGGAAAAAGAGAAUUACAACCUACAAACACAAUCUCUGGUGUCCUUUGGCCUAAGCCAAACCUCACUAUAGAUAGGCUCCUAUAUACAUUGAAUCUAGUCAUCCACUAACUCUCUCAUUAUAACACAUUAACUCACCCUCAUAAUGAGCCAUAAAUCCAAGAGUCACCCCAUAACUUAUGGGAGUUUCAUAACUUUUGAGUUUCCCAUAGCGGGUUUGGUUCGGGUCUCUUUAAUGACCUGCUCCGCUAGCGAAAUUGGGCCACUGU